GACGAACGCUGGCGGCGUGCUUAACACAUGCAAGUCGAACGGAAAGGCCCUGCUUUUGUGGGGUGCUCGAGUGGCGAACGGGUGAGUAACACGUGAGUAACCUGCCCUUGACUAUGGGAUAACUUCAGGAAACUGGGGAUAAUACCGGAUAGGAGCUCCUGCUGCAUGGUGGGGGUUGGAAAGUUUCGGCGGUUGGGGAUGGACUCGCGGCUUAUCAGCUUGUUGGUGGGGUAGUGGCUUACCAAGUCUUUGACGGGUAGCCGGCCUGAGAGGGUGACCGGCCACAUUGGGACUGAGAGACGGACCAGACUCCUACGGGAGGCAGCAGUGGGGAAUAUGGCAGAAUGGGCGGAAGUCUGAGGCAGCAACGCCGCGUGCGGGAUGACGGCCUUCGGGUUGUAAACCGCUUGCGCCUGUGACGAAGCGUGAGUGACGGUAAUGGGUAAAGAAGCACCGGCUAACUACGUG
This 468-nucleotide ribosomal RNA is filed under the name uncultured bacterium. RNAcentral describes it as "partial 16S ribosomal RNA". It matches the Rfam family "Bacterial small subunit ribosomal RNA", at positions 28 to 507 of the family's 1533-position model. The record is from RNAcentral.